Molecule: ribosomal RNA, 2106 nt
Filed under: human oral metagenome
Description: bacterial LSU rRNA
Rfam family: Bacterial large subunit ribosomal RNA
Source: RNAcentral
GUGAAAAGUACCCCGGGAGGGGAGUGAAAUAGUACCUGAAACCGUGUGCUUACAAUCCGUCAGAGCGCCUUUUUGUGGUGUGAUGGCGUGCCUUUUGAAGAAUGAGCCUGCGAGUCAGCGGCAUGUCGCGAGGUUAACACGUGUGUGGUAGCCGUAGGGAAACCGAAUCCUAAUGAGGGUGAAUGAGUGGCAUGUCCUGGACCCGAAGCGAAGUGAUCUACCCAUGGCCAGUGUGAAGCAGCUGUAAGAGGUUGUGGAGGCGCGAACCCACUUAGGUUGAAAACUGAGGGGAUGAGUUGUGGGUAGGGGUGAAAGGCCAAUCAAACUUCGUGAUAGCUGGUUCUCCCCGAAAUGCAUUUAGGUGCAGCGUCGUGUGUUUCUUGCCGGAGGUAGAGCUACUGGAUGGUUUAGCGGGACCAACAUCUUAGCGACAUCAGCCAAACUCCGAAUGCCGGUAAGUGAGAGCGCGGCAGUGAGACUGCGGGGGAUAAGCUUCGUAGUCGAGAGGGAAACAGCCCAGAUCGCCGGCUAAGGCCCCUAAGCGUGUACUAAGUGGAAAAGGAUGUGGGAUCGCGAAGACAACCAGGAGGUUGGCUUAGAAGCAGCCAUCCUUGAAAGAGUGCGUAAUAGCUCACUGGUCGAGUGGUUCUGCGCCGACAAUGUAGUGGGGCUCAAGUACACCGCCGAAGCCGCGGCACUCAUACUUUUGUGUGUGGGUGGGUAGGGGAGCGUCGUGCAUAAUGUGAAGCUGCCGAGUGAUCGUUGUGGUGGAGUGUGUGCGAGUGAGAAUGCAGGCAUGAGUAGCGAAUGAUGAGUGAAAAACUCAUCCGCCGGAUGACCAAGGGUUCCUGGGUUAAGCUAAUCUUCCCAGGGUGAGUCGGGACCUAAGGCGAGGCCGACAGGCGUAGUCGAUGGACAACCAGUUGAUAUUCUGGUACCCGGAUGGAAGCGCCCGUGGUGAAUCAGUGAUACUAACCGCCCUGAAGCCUGAUGGCAGUCUUUUGGAUUGUUGUUGGUGUGGAUGCGUGGGAUCUGAUCUGGUAGUAGCCAAGCGAUGGUGUGACACAGGAAGGUAGCCGAGCCACUGAGUGGAUUGUGGUGUAAGCGUGUAGCCCGCAUGGUAGGUAAAUCCGCUGUGCAUGGUGGGUGAGGCGUGAUGCGUACCCCUUUUGUUGGGGGAUGUUGGUGAUCCUAUGCUGUCGAGAAAAGCAUCUAGCGAUGUUUCCAUCUGGCCCGUACCCCAAACCGACACAGGUGGUCAGGUAGAGAAUACUAAGGCGAUCGGGUGAACUGUGGUUAAGGAACUCGGCAAAAUGCCCCCGUAACUUCGGGAGAAGGGGGACCACUGCUGGUGACAGACUGGUUUUGAGCUGGUGGUGGUCGCAGAGAAUAGAGGGAAGCGACUGUUUACUAAAAACACAGGUCCAUGCGAAGACGAUAAGUCGAUGUAUAUGGACUGACGCCUGCCCGGUGCUGGAAGGUUAAGAGGACCUGUUAGUCACUUUGGUGGCGAAGCGGAGAAUUUAAGCCCCAGUAAACGGCGGUGGUAACUAUAACCAUCCUAAGGUAGCGAAAUUCCUUGUCGGGUAAGUUCCGACCUGCACGAAUGGCGUAACGACUUCCCUGCUGUCUCAACCACAGGCCCGGCGAAAUUGCAGUACGAGUAAAGAUGCUCGUUACGCGCGGCAGGACGAAAAGACCCCGGGACCUUCACUAUAGCUUGGUAUUGAUAUUCGGUUCGGUUUGUGUAGGAUAGGUGGGAGACUGUGAUCACAUGACGCCAGUUGUGUGGGAGUCGUUGUUGAAAUACCACUCUGGUCGUAUUGGAUAUCUUAACCUCGGCCCAUGAUCUGGGUUAGGGACAGUGCCUGGUGGGUAGUUUAACUGGGGCGGUUGCCUCCUAAAGAGUAACGGAGGCGCCCAAAGGUUUCCUCAGCCUGGUUGGCAAUCAGGUGGUGAGUGUAAGUGCACAAGGGAGCUUGACUGUGAGACUGACAGGUCGAGCAGGUACGAAAGUAGGGACUAGUGAUCCGGCACUGGCUUGUGGAAGCGGUGUCGCUCAACGGAUAAAAGGUACCCCGGGGAUAACAGGCUGAUCUUCCCCAA